AGAGUGAAUGUUCGCUGGGGCCUUCCAGAAGACAGUUCAGUCUUAGCAAACUGGCCAGGAAGGAUUUUCAUCAAGAUGGAGGAAAAACCUGGAGAUCUUUGGCUCAAAGGACAUGACCUAAUUCUACAGAUGAAUCUGUACUGACGUUAGAAAACCACUGGUGGAACAUAAAACUUGUACAUUCUUCUAAAAAUGAAGGUAGAUCACAGCAGACUCAAUCUAUUUAUAGCCAGUCAUAUCAACAUUACUGAUUGGGAAUUACCAAAAGAGGUGAAAUUAUUUAACAAAUCCUUUGUUAAGUCAUAUUCUGAACCUACAGAUGUCAAUUUCAGGUGUUUAUUUUUUAAAUAAAGAUAAUUAAAACACUAAAAA
Long non-coding RNA from Homo sapiens (human), 372 nucleotides. Ensembl annotates it as SNX9 antisense RNA 1. Its record names the gene SNX9-AS1. The record is from Ensembl. Lineage: Eukaryota; Metazoa; Chordata; Mammalia; Primates; Hominidae.